CCUACGGGAGGCAGCAGUGAGGAAUAUUGGUCAAUGGCCGAAAGCCUGAACCAGCCAAGUCGCGUGCAGGAAGACUGCCCUAUGGGUUGUAAACUUCUUUUAUACGGGAGUAACGCCACUUACGUGUAGGGGUUUGCAAGUACCGUAAGAAUAAGCAUCGGCUAACUCCGUGCCAGCAGCCGCGGUAAUACGGAGGGUCCGAGCGUUAUCCGGAUUUAUUGGGUUUAAAGGGGGCGUAGGCCGGAUGUCAAGUGAGCGGGGAAAUCUCGGGGCUCAACCCCGGCCUUGCCGGGGCAACUGGUGAGCUUGAGUGUGCGGGAAGUAGGCGGAAUGCGUGGUGUAGCGGUGAAAUGCUUAGAUAUGACGCAGAACCCCGAUUGCGAAGGCAGCUUACCGGCGCCCAACUGACGCUGAUGCACGAAAGCGUGGGUAUCGAACAGGAUUAGAUACCCGGGUAGUC
RNAcentral lists this ribosomal RNA (460 nucleotides) under uncultured bacterium. RNAcentral's name for it is "partial 16S ribosomal RNA". It matches the Rfam family "Bacterial small subunit ribosomal RNA", at positions 338 to 795 of the family's 1533-position model. The record is from RNAcentral.